This is a small nucleolar RNA of Lutra lutra (Eurasian river otter), 122 nucleotides long. RefSeq annotates it as small nucleolar RNA SNORA40. The transcript has a single exon. NCBI's taxonomy places the organism in Eukaryota, Metazoa, Chordata, Mammalia, Carnivora, Mustelidae. The record is from RefSeq and is a predicted model, not a curated record.
UACAAAUUGUAUUUGUUUAGUUUGUGGACAAAGACUUAAAUAAGUGGGAAAAAUAAAUUCUUUUUUGUAAUCCAGAAUUCAUUGUAAAAGUAUGAGUUUUGAUAUAAAUAAGAAGGAAUAUG